This 235-nucleotide ribosomal RNA is filed under the name uncultured bacterium. Its description in RNAcentral is "partial 16S ribosomal RNA". It matches the Rfam family "Bacterial small subunit ribosomal RNA", at positions 96 to 334 of the family's 1533-position model. The record is from RNAcentral.
UGGCGGACGGGUGAGUAAUGUCUGGGAAACUGCCCGAUGGAGGGGGAUAACUACUGGAAACGGUAGCUAAUACCGCAUAACGUCGCAAGACCAAAGAGGGGGACCUUAGGGCCUCUUGCCAUCGGAUGUGCCCAGAUGGGAUUAGCUAGUAGGUGGGGUAAAGGCUCACCUAGGCGACGAUCCCUAGCUGGCCUGAGAGGAUGACCAGCCACACUGGAACUGAGACACGGUCCAG